UAUUCUGCUUAACUAAACUGCACUGUAGCACACCGUAAACUCUAUUAGACUUUUCGACGUUAAACCUAACUCACAAGAAUGAGGUUCUUAGGCGUUCUCUUUCUUCUUGUUAUAACAAUAGUAGAUGUCAAAAGUCAAGCCAGUAAAUGCGAUCCCAGAAUUCCACCGGCAAUUAGACCGUACUGUGCUGUUGACGUCAACUGCAGUUAUAAUGCCAAAAAUGUUUGGGCAGCAAGGUACGAGAUGUGCUUGAGAAAUGAACAAGGAAAGCCAAAAUUUUUGCAACUAAACGCGGGAAAAUGCCCUUCUGGCCAGCCUGCAUGCCUUAGCUCUUCUCCGAAUUAAUGCAUUACCUAAGCCGUUAAUUCUAGCUUAAGGGUACUAAAAAUCAAUGUUUUUAUAUUUUUAAAGUACGUGCUGGAGCACAGAUAGAAUGUUAUGAGUUUACCCAUUAAAAAUAAAGUUAUAUUGAAAAUCCCAGUUAAUCAUCUUCAAACUUUUAACAACUCAACAUGAAGAAUUUGGUAAUCCUUUUCGUUUUGGAAAUCAAGGGUGAAUGCUCUGUUCAAAUUCCCUAUUUCCCUGACGCCCAAUGUGGAUAUGCCAGCGAAUGUGUCUAUCAUGGGAUAAAUAAAGCUGAUAUCACUAAUGAGGCUUGUCGUCGUCGAGAACAGGGAAAACCACCAUUUUUUGCUGUAAAAGAGGGAAAUUGUCCCACAAACAGUCCUAAAUGUAUAUAAUAAGUAUUUUAAAAUAUUUUACAAAAUAAAUUCCGAUUUUCACAAAUUUAUUAUUUGCUGAACUUUUAAAGUCGUUCUGGUAAAUAAAAUUUGAUUUAUUACCCACUUAGUUGUGCUUAAACAAAAAUCAUUUUUAUAUUCUAAAAGAACGUGUUGGAUCAUAAGAUGCCUGAUUUUACUUUUCCCAUUAUAUAGAAACCUAUCUCAUAACCACAAAGUCAGUUAUCCCAAAACCUUUACCAAGUCAUCAUGAAGACUUUCGGUAUUGUUUUCAUUUUCGUUAUCCUAAUACUAGAAAUAAGGGGUAAAUGCAAUUUGACUAUUCCACAAUAUCUCCAUCCUUAUUGCGGAAUUACUAGAGGAUGUGUCUUUGAUGGCGGAAAUGAGGUUGACAUCGCGAAUGAAUCCUGCAGGCGUAAACAGCAGGGAAAGCCACUAUUCUUGGAAAUAAGAAAUGGAUAUUGUGAAUCGAACAAACCUCAGUGUGAAAGGACCCCUUUAAGGUUCUAAGAUAAUUUCAGACCAUUAAUAUGGCUCUUUAACAUUUUAAAAUAAAUCAAAAUUUUCCGCUAAUCUACGGAAUAAUUUCCUUUCUCUUUUCUAGCAUAUCUUAAAUAUUUAAUCUCAUAUUUAAAUAGCAGUAUGAGUGUCUUUGUUCUUAUUUUUAUUAUAAUUGCGAAAAUAUUUGGAAUCGCAAGUGGGAUAAGUAAGUGCGAUGGAUAUAUAAAACCUACUGGAAAACCCAUUUGUGCUUUUGAUAAAAAUUGUUUCUAUCAAGGCAUUAAUAUUUGGGAUGUGGGACAAGAGCAGUGCAAACGAACUGAACAAGGAAAGCCUCUCUUUUUAAAACUUGGGCGUGGAAAAUGUCCCACUAACAAGCCUGCGUGCAACAAAACUCAAUCAAAGUAAAGCACGAAUUUAAAAAUUAUAAAAAUUAUUAAAAUAUAUAAGUAAAUAAAUAUAUAUACAAAUAUCUAACACAAUGAAAAUAUAAUAAAAGCUGUUAUAACUCAACCUCUUCUUCAAAUAAAUCUAAAGAUUUUGUCUGCUUAAUUGAUUCUUCUCGGGAAUUAAAAAAUUAAGCCCUAACCUAUAAAAGCCACGUAUUUGGUUUGAAAAUGUCAAACUCUUAGGAAGAUGAAGCUCAUAACAAUUUUCAUUCUAGCCACUACAGCUUUGCAAAUCGACGGUGCUUGCAAUAGAAUGGUUAAACUUUCAUUAAGUCCUGCUUGUGGGGUCCUUCCAGAUUGUUAUUUCGAAGGCCUAAAUAGCGACUACAUAAGUAUUGAGGAGUGCAAGCGAAAAGAAAAAGGACUUAGCGGAUUUCUUUCCACAAUGGAAGGAAAAUGUCCUAAGGAUAAACCUGCUUGCCCACAGCCUGUUCCGUUUCCAUGGAGUAUAUGGGCAUGAGGAUUUAAGAUGUACAUUAUAAUUUCUUUCAAGAUAUUAAUAAAUUAAAUAGAGAAAGAAAUAUAUUUGAAAUAUAUUCUUCUGAUCCUAAUGGGCGAUGUAAUUAACUAUUAACUUAUGUAAAUAUUAACUCUAUUAUUAGACCGUAAAACGAACUCAUAAGCCUGAGUAUGAUAAAUCCGAUCCAAAGAUUUGUCUGCAUAAUUGAAUUUUCUCAGAUAUUAAAAAAAUUUUCUACUGAUAAUAAUGAACUAAGUAGGGAACGAUUUUUCUACGUAAUUUCAUUUAUAAAGACUAAAGAAAUAAUUUCAAAUAAACUAUUUACACUUUUCCACUUUAGAUCUUAAACCGAACUCAUUAUUAAAAAUGAUCAAACUAUUAUAUAGUUAUAGAUCUCUUCUAUAAUGAAAUAUU
This is an RNA transcript of Drosophila eugracilis, 2564 nucleotides long. It is a transcript of the gene named accessory gland protein Acp63F, with no coding region annotated. The transcript has 11 exons. Lineage: Eukaryota; Metazoa; Arthropoda; Insecta; Diptera; Drosophilidae. The record is from RefSeq and is a predicted model, not a curated record.